This 427-nucleotide ribosomal RNA is filed under the name Gemmatimonadota bacterium. RNAcentral's name for it is "Gemmatimonadetes bacterium partial 16S ribosomal RNA". It matches the Rfam family "Bacterial small subunit ribosomal RNA", at positions 355 to 776 of the family's 1533-position model. Lineage: Bacteria; Pseudomonadati; Gemmatimonadota. The record is from RNAcentral.
UAGGGAAUCUUCGGCAAUGGACGAAAGUCUGACCGAGCAACGCCGCGUGAGUGAAGAAGGUUUUCGGAUCGUAAAACUCUGUUGUUAGAAGAACAAGGACGUUAGUAACUGAACGUCCCCUGACGGUAUCUAACCAGAAAGCCACGGCUAACUACGUGCCAGCAGCCGCGGUAAUACGUAGGUGGCAAGCGUUGUCCGGAUUUAUUGGGCGUAAAGCGAGCGCAGGCGGUUUCUUAAGUCUGAUGUGAAAGCCCCCGGCUCAACCGGGGAGGGUCAUUGGAAACUGGGAGACGUGAGGGCAGAAGAGGAGAGUGGAAUUCCAUGUGUAGCGGUGAAAUGCGUAGAUAUAUGGAGGAACACCAGUGGCGAAGGCGGCUCUCUGGUCUGUAACUGACGCUGAGGCUCGAAAGCGUGGGGAGCAAACAGG